AUGCCGGCUCCCGCCACGCUCGCCGCCUUCAACACCCUCGUCGCCUCGCUCGCGCGCUCCAGCCGCCCCUCGCAGGCGCUCCUCGCCUUCCGUGACAUGCUCGCGCGGGGCUUCCCGCCCGACCACUUCACCCUGCCCCCGGUCCUCCGCAGCUGCGCGCUCACCGAAUCCGCCGCCCUGGCCGCCUCCUCGCACGCCCUCUCCGUCAAGCUCGGCGCCCACGGAAACCUCUUCGUGGCGUCCGCGCUCGUGCAGUGCUACGCGGGCAUGUCCAACCUCCCCGACGCGCGGAGGCUGUUCGACGGAAUGCGCGAGAGGGACGCCGUUCUGUGGACGUCCAUGCUGUCCGCGUACGCGCAGGGUGGGCAGCCGGAGGAGGCUCUGCGGCUGUUCCAGGGGAUGGUGGUGGCCGAGGUGCAGCUGGAUGCCGUGGUCAUGGUCAGCCUUCUUCUCGCGUGUGGACAGCUCGGGUGGCGGCGCCAUGGGAGAAGCGUGCAUGCGUGCUGCGUCCGGAUGUUCCUGGGGAUGCCGCUGUCUCUGGGGAACGCGCUUGUCGACAUGUACGUCAAGUGCGGCGAGCUUGAAUUCGCCGAACGCGUAUUUUCUGCGAUGCCCAGGCGGGAUGUUAUCUCGUGGAGCGCUCUGAUUGUUGGCCAUGGUUUGAAUGGGCGUCCUGAUGUCGCUUUGAGGCUCUUCGAUGAAAUGGUGGCCAAAGGAGUGGAACAGAAUUCGGUCACCUUUCUCGGCGCCCUGUCGGCCUGUGCGCAUUCAGGCAUGGUGGACAAAGCGUAUGCUAUAUUCGAGCAGAUGAAACAGCGGGGCAUCAACCGUGAGCUGAAGCAUUACUCUUGCAUGGCUGAUGCGUUAGGGAGGGCAGGCCGUGUUGUUGAAGCAGUAAAUCUCAUAGAGGAGAUGCCUUGCCAGCCUGACGAGGCUAUCCUUGGUAGUGUAUUGGCAGCUUGCCGGGUGCAUGGUGAAAUGGAUGCUGCUGAACGGAUUUCAAAGAGAUUGAUGAGCAUGUCUCCUGCAAAGAGCGGCUACUACAUGAGCUUGGCAAACAUAUAUUCAGAUGCUGGAAGGUAUGGUGAUGCAGAGAGAAUAAGAGGCUUCAUGAAGGAAGUUAAAGUCGACAAGCUUCCUGGAUAUAGUUCAGUUGAACUCGAUGUUUCCGUCUCUGAAUCAAAAAAUGUAUAA
RNAcentral lists this ribosomal RNA (1194 nucleotides) under Triticum aestivum (bread wheat). Its description in RNAcentral is "partial small subunit ribosomal RNA". Lineage: Eukaryota; Viridiplantae; Streptophyta; Magnoliopsida; Poales; Poaceae. The record is from RNAcentral.